Molecule: long non-coding RNA, 198 nt
Organism: Manihot esculenta (cassava)
Lineage: Eukaryota; Viridiplantae; Streptophyta; Magnoliopsida; Malpighiales; Euphorbiaceae
Exons: 2
Source: RefSeq, a predicted model, not a curated record
UGUUAGGCCCAGCCCUUCUUAAAAGAAAAAAAAAAUAGGCCCAUAAAUAUAUUUUAUAUAAAAAGGAAAUUAUUUAAAAAAAAAAAAAAAAGAAAAAGUGGGCAUUAAAGCUCCGGUUUCGGGAAUGUCCCAAAACAUUCCCGAAACAGAGCAUUCGUCUUCCACCCCCAGAAAACAGAGCGAAAGCUCUGUUAUUUU